GGGCAUUCCCUCCGCUCACGAAAUUGCUAUUAUAGGGGCCGGGGUCUGAAUACCUAUUCAACACCCUACCGUUUAGGCUUUUAGACCAAAAUAGCCUGCCUCUCUUCUUCCCAAAAUUCACUCCAGAUUUAUUUUUCUCUCCAAAUCAAGCAUCCAUUCACCCUUCGUCUUCAUCUCCCACGUUUUCUUUUUCUCUUUUUUUCCCGAUUCAUUUUAGUUAAAGUUCUUUCAUCUUCAUCUCCCCAAAUAUUGUAAGUUCAGUUGAGACAUUUUCUGCUCAACAUUUUUUUCCCUUUUCAGUCACGUUUUCUCAUUCUUGUUUACACGAAUUGAUGCAGUGAAAUCCAGAAGUACCAGCAAAGUACUGAGAACUCCUCAUUAGGAAAUUGCCUUUCAAAAGGUUCGUUCGUGAAAUUGCCCAAGACUUUAAGGAAAUACCAUUAAAUUACUGCUUCUUCUUCUUUUCUGUUUAAUUAUUGUAAAGAAAUCAAAACUUAUGCUCAAAGUAUGGUUACGGUUAUGGUUAUAUAAGAUAAGAAUGUUUGCAUUUCAUGAAGAUGGAUGAUAAAAAAAAGGGUCUUCUUUUUUGUUGAUGGUUUGUUUUCAUCUUUGUAAUUAUAUGAACCAUACAUCAGCUCAACAAUUUUUUACCAAAAAAAAGUACAAUUUUGAGGGUGAGGAACAUCCAAAAACCUUCUUACCUGUAAGCAUAUAGGCUUUAAAUACAAGCCACCAGUAAAGAAGCUAAAUUGGAAAAGGGAAAAAGGAAAAAAAAUCCAUAUGUUUUGAAGAGGCAGGUAGGCAAGCAUGGGUUGUGAGAUUGGUCAAGUCAUUUGAUGUCAGCUAAGCUGUAGUUGAUGUAAGGCAGGUAGGAAUGGUUAGUAUUGUUGUAGUAUUUACUAUAUUAAUCUAUGGUUUCGAAAUUUGUUUUAACUGCCUUUUCUGUUCAUAUUUUUUGUGAGCAUUUUUGGUUUGUUGAUAGGAGUGCUUCUGCUGUAAAUUGAUGGAAGAAAUAUAGCGUUCUUUUUCUUUUUUUUUUUGGUCUUUGGUUGAUAUUGGCAAUUUGAUUUAGGAGGUGAAUGGAAAGAGUUUAAUGACAUCUAUUGACAUCACCAAAUUUUAAGAAAAACUCAGGAAAUCAUUAAUGUCUAUUGGUUAUAAUUGCAUGAUCAUUUGUAAGGAUCAGACAAAACCAUAGUUUUCUUUUGUUGGUGAGCAAAUGUGUUGCGUAGAAUGUUCUAAUUCAUCUGUAGGAUUUUGCAUUUAUGUUUUGUCUCUUGUAUGCGUACAUAAAGGGUGACGAGGAUAUAAUUUGAAGGUUUUGAAAAGUUCAUCAUAGUUUUCUUUUGUGAACUAUGUUGUACAAGAUUUAUCUUAUUUCAUUAUUUGAAUAAAUACGUGCAGGUAUGAGCCAUUAUCCUUUCUCCUAGGCAAGGAGUACUUUUUUCACGGCUACGGUCCAAUAUAUGCUCUUUCAGCUGAUGUUGUUGCAAGUUUGGUUGCUCUAAAAAACGACAAGUACUAUUAAUGAUUUCAUAUCUAAUCCAUAGUUAUCUGUUAAAUCGAUUCCCUCUGUUCUUUAUGUGUCUUGUUGGCGUCUUGUCUAUAUUUGGGUCAUAGAUUUUGACUUGCUGACAACGUUGGUUUUGUAUAUUCGGCAACUGUUUCGGCAAGAGAUUAUUGAAAUGUUUCUUUGUGAUCGUAUCUGGAUUUUGAGCUACUUUUCUUUUUCUUCUGUUUUUUGGUUUUACUGAGUUUGCAGCGGCAAGAGACAAUGUUGGUUUUACUCGUGUUUGUGCAAAGUACUGCGUGAAGUGUAUAUGUUGGUGCUUUUAAUCAAAUAAGUUGGUUCUUUCACAUGCCAUAUUCAAUAUCUUGAAUGGGAGUCUUCAAAAGAUACGGAAGACUGCUUUGGGGAAAUAUAUGAAGAUUUAAGACAAAAGUUAGCUUGUGAUGUCGUAGUUGAUGCACGGCUUUCCUCUACAUAACGGACUUUCAAAGUUAAACUAUUUUAUCUAGUUUUCAUUUGGAGACCAUGAUAUCUUUUUAAAAUUAUUUCAAAAUCUUUUUAUACAAUGUAAUAUUAAAGAUAACUCAUUAUUAUUAUUUAAAUACUAGC
RNAcentral lists this long non-coding RNA (2119 nucleotides) under Gossypium barbadense (sea-island cotton). Its description in RNAcentral is "long non-coding RNA (GBAR_LNC022576)". The record is from RNAcentral. Lineage: Eukaryota; Viridiplantae; Streptophyta; Magnoliopsida; Malvales; Malvaceae.